This 134-nucleotide ribosomal RNA is filed under the name Jaculus jaculus (lesser Egyptian jerboa). The record is from RNAcentral. Lineage: Eukaryota; Metazoa; Chordata; Mammalia; Rodentia; Dipodidae.
GUCUACAGCCAUAGAACCCUGAACAUGCCCAGUCUUGUCUGAUCUUGGAAGCUGAGCAAGGUGAGUACUUUAGAGUUGAGGUUUUCUAUAUAUAAUUUUAUUUUCCUUCCAUCAGUGUGUUCUGGUUGUCGGCU